This 576-nucleotide long non-coding RNA is filed under the name Mytilus galloprovincialis (Mediterranean mussel). Lineage: Eukaryota; Metazoa; Mollusca; Bivalvia; Mytilida; Mytilidae. The record is from RNAcentral.
UUUGUGGUGAGUAUAAGGGUAAUAUAGCAAUGGUGUAUGUUUGUGGUGAGUAUAAGUAAAGAACUGCAAUAAGCCAUGUUUAUUUUUUUCAAGUUUGCAUUGCAUAUAAGUGUGAUCUGUCACUUGUUUGUGAUGAGUGUAAUAAUGCCAUUGCUAUGUCACAUGUUGGUGUUGAGUAUAAUAGUGUGAAUGCAACGUCACAUGUUGGUGUUGAGUAGAAGAGUGUCAUUGCUAUGUCACAUGUUGGUGUUGAGUAUACGAGUGUCACUGCUAUGUCACAUACACAUGUGUGUUGAGUAUAAGAGUGUCACUGCUACGUCACAUGCUGGUGUUGAGUAUAAGAGUGUCACUGCUACGCCACAUGUUGGUGUUGAGGUAAAGGGUGUCAGUGAUAUGUCACAUGUUGGUGUUGAGUAUAAGAGUGUCAUUGCUAUGUCACAUGUUGGUGUUGAGUAUAAUAGUGUCAUUGCUAUGUCACAUGUUGGUGUUGACUAUAAGAGUGUUAUUGCUAUGUCACAUGUUAGUGUUGACUAUAAGAGUGUCAUUGCUAAGUGACAUGUUGGUGUUGACUAUAAG